RNAcentral lists this ribosomal RNA (377 nucleotides) under uncultured bacterium. RNAcentral describes it as "bacterial SSU rRNA". It matches the Rfam family "Bacterial small subunit ribosomal RNA", at positions 521 to 896 of the family's 1533-position model. The record is from RNAcentral.
UAAUACAGAGGGUGCAAGCGUUGUUCGGAAUUACUGGGCGUAAAGCGCGUGUAGGCGGCGGCGUAAGUCGAAUGUGAAAGCCCUUGGCUUAACCAAGGAAGUGCAUUCGAUACUGCGUCGCUUGAGUGCCGGAGGGGAUGGCGGAAUUCCUGGUGUAGAGGUGAAAUUCGUAGAUAUCAGGAGGAACACCUGUGGCGAAGGCGGCCAUCUGGACGGUGACUGACGCUGAGACGCGAAAGCGUGGGUAGCAAACAGGAUUAGAUACCCUGGUAGUCCACGCUGUAAACGAUGAGUGCUAGACGUCGCGGGUAUUGACCCCUGCGGUGUCGAAGUUAACACGUUAAGCACUCCGCCUGGGGAGUACGGUCGCAAGAUUA